Molecule: long non-coding RNA, 579 nt
Organism: Agrilus planipennis (emerald ash borer)
Lineage: Eukaryota; Metazoa; Arthropoda; Insecta; Coleoptera; Buprestidae
Exons: 2
Source: RefSeq, a predicted model, not a curated record
AAAUAUAGAUACACUUUCUUAUAACCCGACGACACUUCAAUUCAUCAGUGGAAUUAAAGUCAUUAACAAUCCGUUAGGUUUUCAAGAACUGUGGUUCGUUUCAGACAGAUUCCAAAAAUUCUAUACAAGUACACUGUCGCUAAACGAAACCAAUUUCAGAAUACAUACAGUACGUGUUGACGACGUAUUAAGAGGAAGUAAAUGUAAAUCGUCUAGAUUUCAGGGAAUUGAAGGCUAGAAUAAGCUCCAUGAAUAACGAAUAACUGUUUGCUAACUAAUCGUUGUCAUACACCAAAGAUACCCCCAUAUAAGUACCAUUUUUAACGUGUCAGCACCCACAUAUCAAUAAUUAAUUCAAUGUAACUAAUUUAAUUUUUGGUUCUUUAUUAAAGUCUCCUCCUCCUUUUUGUUUGGUACAUGAACAAUGAGAAUAAAAUCUUAAAAUAGAUGAGUUAUUAAUAUCUAAAAUUUUUUCACAAUUCACGUACAUAUAUGGUGGUAUCUCAUGAAAAUUAAUAAAUUGUAAGAUCAGUUGUAUAUGUAAAACUUAAUGAAAAAUAAAUUAAAAAAAAAUAACAA